This is a non-coding RNA of Caretta caretta (loggerhead turtle), 2060 nucleotides long. NCBI's taxonomy places the organism in Eukaryota, Metazoa, Chordata, Testudines, Cheloniidae. The record is from RefSeq and is a predicted model, not a curated record.
GGUAUGCAGUAAAAGAAAAUGGACGCUGUAGUAAGAGGACAUAUUAUAACUGGGUCAAGACCUAUAUUUUUCGUUGGUUUUUAAAUUACAGAACCCGAUACUAUAACAGCCUACACGUGCAAAAGAAUCAGUAGAAAAUAUGUGUUUGUAGCUUUUAUGACAUUCCCACAUUUAUCUUUCCUCUUCACAUUUCAUGAAGCAUUUUCUUGAUAGAGGUUUUGAUGUUGCGAUUCAUUUCGAGCAAUUUUUGGUUUAGGCUCAAGAUGUCGCUGUUGUCUACAGUUACGGACAAGGAUCGCGGAUGAUUUGUCCCUUUCACAGUGCAGUCAGCAAAGCAAGUCACUAAAGACAACGGUCACCACACGAGUAAACAGGCAAAGUGAACCACAGCGAGGCAGAGACAAGAAACGAUCUUAUUGCCAAGCCUUUAUGAAGCGGUUACUCUGAAGAACAGAAGCAAACUAAGAUGUCGGACUCAGGGCUGGUACUUAAGAGACCUAUUUACUGCAUGCUGGUUCUGUGUGUCUGUCUCUGAAGAGGCUCGUUACUGAGUGUCUGAAGCGCUAGCCUGGUGCUUUUAUGGGGAAUAUGGCCGAGGAUCUAGAACUGGAUAAUAUCAGAAACCUGCCAGCUCGCAGGCUGCGGACUGUGUCAGGAAAAGAGACUUUGUGGAGCUGAAAAUGCAGAAUGGAGCCCUGAUCGUCACUGUGAAAAUGGACAGAGCAGAGCUGCGUGGGCGGACAGUACGUUGUGCACUGAAAUUUAAGAUUGUGGUUGAAAAUCUUGCAAUGUAGUAUGUGGAACUAGAAAUCCUGGAUGAUUUCCCCACGUGGCUGAAUCUGUUUUAGUGGGCAGUGUACUUCCUAUAGUAGGGCUCAAGAUCCUCUUGGUGCCGAUUCUUUGCUCACCUAUGAGAUUUGGGCAAAUGCACACUUUGCUUUGAAAGUAGAGAAUCGUGGCGGACAUAAUAAAGUGCCAAUUUUAAUACUGGAAGAGUCAUUGGACAGAGAAAAAGGAUCGACUCAGAAUCGAAUAACAGCAGCUAAACACAAUGGGGCUCCCCAAAGAUCUGGCACCCUCCAGAUGAGUAUCACUGUGCUGGAGUCUAACAAUAACGCCCCUGCAUUUGAUGGAAACAUCUACACUAUCUGCCUAGUGGAGAAUGUGGACAAAGGCAUCCUGGUUAUUGACUGAAUGGCACCGAUUUAAACGAAGGAGGAAAUGGAAGGAUAGAGGAAAUUGUUGGCAGCAACACGACAAUCAAUGUUCAGAAAAUGUUUUCUAUCGAUCCUGAUAACGGGGAGUUAGGGGUGGAAGGUGAAGUGAAUUGUGGAGAAUAUAAUGUGGGAGUGCAGGCGCGGGAGGGAAGUCAGUUAGCGUUGCACAGUUCUUGUAAAUGUUGUGAAUGGCAAUUACAAUGUCCCAGCAGUGACGGUAAAUUCCCUUUCUAAUCCUAUCGGGGAAGACACUGCAGCUGGGACGAUGGUCGGUCUGCUCAGCGUCAUAGACCAGGGCUCCGAAGACAACGGGAAGAUCAGCGGCCACAUUCUGCAGAACGUACCGUUUCAGCUGCUGUCCCCUGCGGAAAACACAUUCUCCUUGGUGACCAGCGGCGUCUUGGGCAGGGGGGCGGCCACCUACAACAUCUCUAUAGUUGCCUGUGAUUGCGGCUCCCCUCCCCUAUGCCCUAUAUAGCAGGGGAACCCUCCCAGUGCGCAUUUCUGAUGUAAGUUACAUCACAAGGGGUGGCAGUCACCCCUUCCCCAGGCCAGAAGCCUGAGCCUCAGACUCUUUGGUGUCCCGCCUUGAUCCAGGGCCUGGGCUAAUUGACUGUUUGUUUCCCUGCCAGCCUGAGCACAGGCCUGGGCCCCCAGCUGCAAGUGGAGACUGCUUCGUUCCCCACGGUGGCUGAAGUAUCAUUCACGUAGUGAGGCAGAGUGGCCUCCUGAGGACCCAGAGUGGGAGUGUCCCCGAUUGAGCCACUACAAUACAUAUAGUAAUUGUAAAGUUCUUCUUUUAGGCUUGUAGCUGUGAUGGAAUAAACUGCUGUCUUAAGGCAA